GAUGAACGCUGGCGGCGUGCCUAAUACAUGCAAGUCGAGCGAACGGACCAGAAGCUUGCUUCCCUGAUUUUAUCGGCCGACGGGUGAGUAACACGUGGAUAACCUACCUAUAAGACUGGGAUAACUUCGGGAAACCGGAUCUAAUACCCACUGAUAUUUUGAACCUCAUGGUUCCCAAGUGAAAGACGGUCUUGCUUUCACUUAUAGCUGGAUCCGCGCUGCAUUAGCUAGUUGUUAAGGUAACGGGUUACCAAAGCAACGAGGCAUAGCCGACCUGAGAGCGUGGUCCGCGAGACUGGAACUGAGAAAGAGCCGCGACACCGGCGGGGGGAAACAGUCGGGAAUCUUCCGCAAGGGACGAGAGCCUAACGGUGCAAAGCCGCGUGAGUGAUGAAUGACUACGGAUCGUAAAGCGAUGUUGUUAUGGAAGAAGAAAUGUGCAAGUAACUGUGAAGAUAAUGACAGUACCUGGAAAAAAAGCCACGGCUAACUACGUG
RNAcentral lists this ribosomal RNA (497 nucleotides) under uncultured bacterium. RNAcentral's name for it is "partial 16S ribosomal RNA". It matches the Rfam family "Bacterial small subunit ribosomal RNA", at positions 28 to 507 of the family's 1533-position model. The record is from RNAcentral.